This is a long non-coding RNA of Erinaceus europaeus (western European hedgehog), 244 nucleotides long. RefSeq lists it as uncharacterized. NCBI's taxonomy places the organism in Eukaryota, Metazoa, Chordata, Mammalia, Eulipotyphla, Erinaceidae. The record is from RefSeq and is a predicted model, not a curated record. The transcript has 3 exons.
ACAGAGGGAAGACCAUGUGAGGACAUGGUGAGAAGCCAUUACCUGUAAGCGGAAAGAAAGAAGUCUCACCUGAGACCAGCCUCACACCUCCUGUCCUCAGAACUCUGCUGACCAUGAAGACUGCAUGAGAACCAUUUCCACUACUGCACAUGCAAGAAACUGGUGGUAUCAUCUUACCUCCAUAUGAGUAGAUGGUACACAACUGAGCCCUUUCUGUCUUCAGACUCUGCAUGACGCCCAGGUC